RNAcentral lists this ribosomal RNA (275 nucleotides) under uncultured bacterium. Its description in RNAcentral is "partial 16S ribosomal RNA". It matches the Rfam family "Bacterial small subunit ribosomal RNA", at positions 399 to 691 of the family's 1533-position model. The record is from RNAcentral.
GCGUGAGUGAAGAAGGCCUUAGGGUUGUAAAGCUCUUUCAGCGGGGACGAUAAUGACGGUACCCGCAGAAGAAGCCCCGGCUAACUUCGUGCCAGCAGCCGCGGUAAUACGAAGGGGGCUAGCGUUGUUCGGAAUUACUGGGCGUAAAGCGCGCGUAGGCGGACAUCUAAGUCAGGGGUGAAAUGCCAAGGCUCAACCUUGGAACUGCCUUUGAUACUGGAUGUCUGGAGUUCGGGAGAGGUGAGUGGAAUUCCGAGUGUAGAGGUGAAAUUCGU